Molecule: ribosomal RNA, 2917 nt
Filed under: marine sediment metagenome
Description: bacterial LSU rRNA
Rfam family: Bacterial large subunit ribosomal RNA
Source: RNAcentral
AGAGCGUUUGGUGGAUGCCUAGGCGUCAAGGGCCGAAGAAGGACGCGGUACACUGCGAAAAGCCUCGGGGAGCCGUGUGCAGGCGAAGAACCGGGGGUAUCCGAAUGGGGAAACCCGACUGGUUGAAGACCAGUCACGGUGUGCAGAACACAUAAGCACACCGGGGGAACGUGGGGAACUGAAACAUCUUAGUACCCACAGGAAAAGAGAGUAUUCUCCGAGUAGUGGCGAGCGAAAGGGGAACAGCCCAAACCAGCAUAACUACGGUUGUGGUGGGGUUGUAGGACCGACAGAACAAACUGAAAGCUAGCUGAAAGACACUGGAAAGGUCUGCCAGAGACGGUGAAAGCCCGGUAGGCGAAAGCGGAAGGGGAGAGUUGGGAUCCUGAGUACCACGGGACACGAGAAACCCUGUGGGAAGCUGGGCAGACCACUGCCCAAGGCUAAAUACCCUUGACGACCGAUAGCGAACAAGUACCGUGAGGGAAAGGUGAAAAGAACCCCGGUAAGGGGAGUGAAAUAGAAUCUGAAACCGAGCGCUUACAAGCGGUCAGAGCACUAUGUUGGUUCGUCUAAGACGGGCCGAAAAGUGUGAUGGCGUGCCUUUUGGAGAAUGAGCCAGCGAGUUACUUUUUGUUGCGAGGUUAAGGCAAGUACAGCCGGAGCCGAAGGGAAACCGAGUCUGAACAGGGCGCGGGCCAGCACUAGCUGUUGGUCACAGUAGCAAGGAGUAGACACGAAACCAGGUGAGCCACCCAUGGUCAGGCUGAAGCGAGGCUAACCCCUCGUGGAGGGCCGAACCUUUCACUGUUGCAAAAGUGUGGGAUGAACUGUGGGUAGCGGUGAUAUGCCAAACGAACUUGGAGAUAGCUUGUUCUCCCCGAAAUAGCUUUAGGGCUAGCCUCGUGGGAUGAGUGAUGGAGGUAGAGCACUGGCUGGGCAAGGGGGCGCAAGCCUACCGCACCCAAUCAAACUCCGAAUGCCAUCACUAGUAGAACACGGGAGUCGGACUACGAAUGAUGAGAUCCGUAGUCGAGAGGGAAAGAGCCCAGACCGUCGGCUAAGGUCCCGAAGUGCAAGCUAAGUGGGAAACGAUGUGGGAUUGCAGAGACAGCCAGGAGGUUGGCUUAGAAGCAGCCAUCCUUGAAAGAGUGCGUAAUAGCUCACUGGUCAAGCGAUCCUGCGCGGAAAAUGUAACGGGGCUAAAGCUUGCCACCGAAGCCACGGAGGUCAAUCUUAGGAUUGGUCUGGUAGGGGAGCGUCGUGUGACCGUCGAAGCUGUACUGUAAGGAGCAGUGGAGGUCACAGGAGUGAGAAUGCUGGCAUGAGUAGCGUAAAAUACGUGAGAACCGUAUUCGCCGAAAGCCCAAGGGUUCCGACGGAAGGUCAGUCCGCGUCGGGUUAGUCGGGCCUAAGCCGAGGCCGCAAGGCGUAGGCGAUGGACAUCCGGUUAAUAUUCCGGAACCACCUAAGCAGAGCGAAGGGGAGACGCAACAGGGUAGAUCAACCCCCCGGAUGGAAGAGGGGGGCCAAGCGUGUAGGCUAGUGAUGGGUGUAGGCAAAUCCGCACCCGGAAGUCGAGGCGCGAAGGGGACGCGAAAGAGCGGAAGUGAUUGAUCCCAGUUGCCAAGAAAAGCCUCUAAGUGACGAAGCUUAGGUGACCGUACCGCAAACCGACACAGGUGGGCAGGUAGAGGAUACCAAGGCGAACGGGAGAACCUUCAUCAAGGAAUUAGGCAAAUUAACCCCGUAACUUCGGGAGAAGGGGUGCCUCGGUGUGUGAGCUCUGAACAGAAGGAGCACACGGAGGUCGCAGUGACAAGGCUUUAGCGACUGGUUACCAAAACCACAGGUCUCUGCAAACUCGAAAGAGGACGUAUAGGGGCUGACACCUGCCCAGUGCCGGAAGGUUAAGGGGAGUGGUUAGGGCGCGUGAGAACGCGUUCGAAGCUACGAACCGAAGCCCCGGUGAACGGCGGCCGUAACUAUAACGGUCCUAAGGUAGCGAAAUUCCUUGUCGGGUAAGUUCCGACCCGCACGAAUGGUGUAACGACUAAAGCACUGUCUCGAUGAAGGACCCGGCGAAAUUGAAGACGCGGUAAAGAUGCCGUGUACCCGCAGCAGGACAAAAAGACCCCGUGGAGCUUUACUGCAACUUGAUACUGGGUUAGGGUUUAGCUUGUGUAGGAUAGGUGGGAGGCAGAGAAGCCAGGGCGCCAGCCUUGGUGGAGCCGCCAGUGAAAUACCACCCUGGCUAAAUCUUUACUCUAACUCUCAGCCGUAAACCGGCGAGGGGACCGUGUCAGGCGGGCAGUUUGACUGGGGUGGUCGCCUCCCAAAAGGUAACGGAGGCGCCCAAAGGUUCCCUCAGGUGGAAUGGAAACCCACCGCAGAGUGCAAAGGCAUAAGGGAGCUUGACUGCGAGGCCGACGGGCCGAGCAGAGACGAAAGUCGGGCUUAGUGAUCCCACGGUACCGAGUGGAAGGGCCGUGGCAAACGGAUAAAAGCUACCCCGGGGAUAACAGGGUGGUAGGGCCCAAGAGUUCACAUCGACGGCCCUGGUCGCCACCUCGAUGUCGGCUCGGCACAUCCUGGGGCUGGACAAGGUCCCAAGGGUUGGACUGUUCGUCCAUUAAAGUGUCACGCGAGCUGGGUUCAGACCGUCGUGAGACAGGUCGGUCUCUAUCCGCUGUGGGCGUAGGGGACUUGAGGGGAGCUGCCCUCAGUACGAGAGGACCAGGGUGGACGAACCGCUAGUGUGUCAGUUGUACCGCCAGGUGCAUGGCUGAGUAGCUAGGUUCGGCAAGGAUAACCGCUGAAAGCAUCUAAGUGGGAAGCCAGCCCCGAGACGAGGUCCCCCAUCCCGGAAAGGGAGUAAGGCCGCUGGGAGACUACCAGUUAGAUAGGCGGGAGGUGU